This 461-nucleotide ribosomal RNA is filed under the name uncultured bacterium. RNAcentral's name for it is "partial 16S ribosomal RNA". It matches the Rfam family "Bacterial small subunit ribosomal RNA", at positions 28 to 506 of the family's 1533-position model. The record is from RNAcentral.
GAUGAACGCUGACAGAAUGCUUAACACAUGCAAGUCUUUGGCGAAGCUGUGCUUGCACAGCCUAGCCAAGGCGGACGGGUGAGUAACGCGUAAGGAACUUGCCCUGCAGUCAGGGAUAACAGACGGAAACGACUGAUAAGACCUGGUAAAGUCAGGCGGACUCAUGUCCAGCCUGAUGAAAAGAGAUGCUGCAGGAGAGCCUUGCGUCCUAUUAGCUUGUUGGUGGGGUAACGGCCCACCAAGGCGAUGAUAGGUAGCCGGCCUGAGAGGGUGGACGGCCACAAGGGGACUGAGAUACGGCCCUUACUCCUACGGGAGGCAGCAGUGGGGAAUAUUGGACAAUGGGGGCAACCCUGAUCCAGCAAUUCUGUGUGCACGAUGAGGGUUUUCGGAUUGUAAAGUGCUUUCAGCAGGGAAGAAAAAAUGACGGUACCUGCAGAAGAAGCGACGGCUAAAUACGU